This 253-nucleotide ribosomal RNA is filed under the name uncultured bacterium. RNAcentral's name for it is "partial 16S ribosomal RNA". It matches the Rfam family "Bacterial small subunit ribosomal RNA", at positions 524 to 776 of the family's 1533-position model. The record is from RNAcentral.
UACGUAGGGGGCAAGCGUUGUCCGGAUUUAUUGGGCGUAAAGAGCGUGUAGGCGGCCAGAUAGGUCAGCUGUGAAAACUCGAGGCUCAACCUCGAGACGUCGGUUGAAACCAUCUGGCUAGAGUCCGGAAGAGGAGAGUGGAAUUCCCGGUGUAGCGGUGAAAUGCGCAGAUAUCGGGAAGAACACCCGUGGCGAAGGCGGGUCUCUGGGCAGUAACUGACGCUGAGGAGCGAAAGCGUGGGGAGCGAACAGG